This is a non-coding RNA of Meleagris gallopavo (turkey), 1992 nucleotides long. NCBI's taxonomy places the organism in Eukaryota, Metazoa, Chordata, Aves, Galliformes, Phasianidae. The record is from RefSeq and is a predicted model, not a curated record.
GAGCUAUCACUGCUUCUUCACUCUUCAGUAUCACCAUGGUUUUCGGGCAGAAGGAAGCAAAGCUAUUUCUUUUCUUUUUACUGUGGAACGGUAAGGAAAGCAGCGAGGCUUUGAACGGAAGCCUGCCCGAGAGUGUCGCGUCCCUGCCACCUUGUGACAAGAUGCUCCAACUGCAAAUCCCCAAACUCGCAAGUCCUGGAGCUUUCGGCCGGAUCCGAAUUCUCCUCCCGAAUGCCCGAAGGAAAGCACAAGGUCCCCUCCGGCAGAUCCUAAGGUGUGGAUGAAGCCUCUGCCACGAUGUCAGGAGAGCGGACCCUUCCUGUGGAUGACAGCGGCAUGCCCUUUCCCUGAACCCAAGGAGCAUCGCAAACCCUGUUUUGCCAACAUGCAGGUGCUGUGUUACCAGCUGGCAGGGGCUUUCCCGUAGCUCUCUGGGCUGCCUGGCUGGCAGGGGAUGGGACCUCCUGGGUUACCACAGCAAGGCAAGGAGAAGAGUGAUCCUUACUUUCCUCCUAGGCAGAGCUCUGCAGCGUGCUUUAAACUUGACUGUUUAAGAGGGGAAAAAAUAGGUUAGCCAAGGGUUGUUUUUUUGUUUGGUUGGUUUUUUUUCCCCAGACUUAUCUGAUGCUUUUGCUUGCUUUGCCUCUUCCUGACUUCCUCGUCCUAAGAAAACAUCUGCCUUUGGCCUUCUAAGGGGAAUGUUUACAUAAUGCAUGAAAAAAUAACAAGUGAGAGCUGUAUUUUUAAAGCCUCAUCCAAAGAGACAUGUUAUCGCAGCUUCUCCAUCCUCGCUGCAUGCAGAGCUGUGGCAUCAAGCCAGCACCACUCCUCCUCCGUUUUGCCCCCAAAUCUGCCUGGAGAAGCAAGGUUACUUUGGUUUUCCAUUGUUUUGGCUUUCCUGCAGAGGUGCUCCCAGUGCAGUUACGCUUUGAUGGAAAGGGCCUUUCUCUCCUGCAGGCCAUGUAACAGUUCAUACAAGCUGCAGCAGCCUUGCUCCAGCUGGGAAGGGUUGAUUUCUUCUACUGUCCUCGCUGUCCUGGGGGAAAUAGAGCUCUUCUGUGCUGGGAGAAAGCUGUCACUUUUGUGCAAAGCUUGCACCCAAGCUUUCCAGUGGUAUUUAGAUAGCUAAACCAGCUUGCACUGAACCUAAUAGAGCUUGGCAUGCAGAGAUUUUUGCUUCUGAUGCUGUAAAGGAUGAGAAGUCAUCUGUGGGAGAGAAUGCAGUCCCUCUUGUUUGCUUUCCAGUAGCAAUUGCAUGGUACAAGAUUUCAUUGUAGUGAAACAGCCAUCAAAGCAUGAGGCCCAGAGUGCAGAAAACAACUCUGUUGGCCUUCCCCAGAUGCCUGUUGUAACAAUUCAAGUAAAGCAGUUCCCCCUACCAUUCUUUGGAGAGAUCAUUGGAGGCUCCACAGGCAGCAUCAUCAGAAAAUUACGAAGGAGAGCUGGCAAAUUCUUAUUUAUGAAGGAAGAAAUGCAGUGAUGACAAUAUUCUGGUACAGAAUUACAGAAUCGUUAAAGUUGGAAAAAAAAAAUGAUCAUCUAAUCCAACAGUCGUCACAUCUCCACCAUACCCACUAACCCAUGUCCCUCAGUAUCACACCUACACAGCUCUUGAACAUCUCCAGGGAUGGUGACUAUGAAGCAAUGAAUAUCAGGAAACAAAUAAUUAAAAUUGUUUCAUUUCAUAUUCAAGCAAAUUUGAACACUUUUUAAAUUUUAAAAAGCAGUAUUUUAAAUUAGUAUGAACAGUAAUAUUUUUCACACUGAUGAAGAAAUAGAAUUUGCCAGGGGCCACGUCAGCCCUUUUUUAUGAAGCAGAACCAUAGAAACCUAUAGCAGGAAUUUGAUAGGAUGAGCCUCUCUGCAGUAAGUGCAGACUUCCGUAUGAGACAAGUCAGGUCCUCUACAUCAGAGAUCUAACUAGGGCAGGCCAACCUAGGGCAUCACAAAUGGCAAAAUAACAACAGACACAUUGAGGACAUGCCUUGAGAA